Phalacrocorax carbo (great cormorant) is the source of this 766-nucleotide non-coding RNA. Lineage: Eukaryota; Metazoa; Chordata; Aves; Suliformes; Phalacrocoracidae. The record is from RefSeq and is a predicted model, not a curated record.
UCAUUCAGCUGCUAACUGCACCCCAGACACAUAACCCAAUCUCCUGGAAGGCAGCCACUCCUGGGGAAGCGAGCUGCCAUAUCGGAUCUGGAGCUGCGCUCAACAGAGAUUUUAAAGCUAUAUUGACUUUUAAGGCUUUUAGGCUCCUGCACCUCUGAACAGCAAAAAUGGCUGGUACUGCUAACAAGAGCGUACCAUGUAGAAGGAGAAGACCCUGUGGUCAGCUUUGCAGCCAUCCUCAGCACGGCACAGCCCAGAGACUCUCCCAGAACAACUUCAUCCCGGGCAAGGCACAAGGAGACAUCAUGGGGUGAAACAGAGCAGAACAGGCAGUGCUGGUCAGUAAGAGUGCAAAAAUACCUGCUAUAACCACAGGAUCUGGGCUUGAAGGACAUUUGAAUUUAAUUUUCAAGCUUUUCUCUGCAACAUAAAAUGAAAGCUGAAACUUUCAUCUAAUUACAUUUCCACAUCUCCAAGGAAAACACCAAAUACCAAGAUGCUUAGGAUCAAAACAAGAGCUGAUGACCCUGAGGUUUAUGUCCAGUCCAUUCCUUUGGGAAGAAAGUGAGUUGAGAAUGAAUGAGCACAGCACAGCCGCUUCAUGAGUCAAACUACCUCAUUACGCUCUAAAUUCCAACAUGAGCACCUACUGAACCAGAAACCCCUCCCAUGGCCCAGCCCCUUCACUUACGCCACAGCAUUGCAGAAGUCGCACUUGUUUCUGUAGGUAACCCCGUUGCUGCCGCAGAUGGGCAUGUACUCCAGG